This 492-nucleotide ribosomal RNA is filed under the name Rhodococcus erythropolis. RNAcentral's name for it is "bacterial SSU rRNA". It matches the Rfam family "Bacterial small subunit ribosomal RNA", at positions 373 to 876 of the family's 1533-position model. Lineage: Bacteria; Bacillati; Actinomycetota; Actinomycetes; Mycobacteriales; Nocardiaceae. The record is from RNAcentral.
GGGCGAAAGCCUGAUGCAGCGACGCCGCGUGAGGGAUGACGGCCUUCGGGUUGUAAACCUCUUUCAGCAGGGACGAAGCGCAAGUGACGGUACCUGCAGAAGAAGCACCGGCUAACUACGUGCCAGCAGCCGCGGUAAUACGUAGGGUGCAAGCGUUGUCCGGAAUUACUGGGCGUAAAGAGUUCGUAGGCGGUUUGUCGCGUCGUUUGUGAAAACCAGCAGCUCAACUGCUGGCUUGCAGGCGAUACGGGCAGACUUGAGUACUGCAGGGGAGACUGGAAUUCCUGGUGUAGCGGUGAAAUGCGCAGAUAUCAGGAGGAACACCGGUGGCGAAGGCGGGUCUCUGGGCAGUAACUGACGCUGAGGAACGAAAGCGUGGGUAGCGAACAGGAUUAGAUACCCUGGUAGUCCACGCCGUAAACGGUGGGCGCUAGGUGUGGGUUCCUUCCACGGAAUCCGUGCCGUAGCUAACGCAUUAAGCGCCCCGCCUGG